Molecule: long non-coding RNA, 1868 nt
Filed under: Physcomitrium patens
Lineage: Eukaryota; Viridiplantae; Streptophyta; Bryopsida; Funariales; Funariaceae
Description: long non-coding RNA (PPAT_LNC013034)
Source: RNAcentral
UUUAAUAUAUUAGUAUUAUAUCUAGGUGCCUCUAUGUAUUUAUUAUAUAUUUAAUUUCAUUUCACUUUUUUGUUUCCUCAUAUAUUAAUCAAAGACAAUUUCUUGCGAUUUUGAAAACCUCAUAACUCCUAAAUCCUAAAAACUUGCUCGAGACCCUAAGACCCUAGAACCCUAAAUCCUACAACCCUAAGACCCUAAGACCCUAGAAUCCUUAACCCUAAGACCCUAGAAUCCUAGAACCCUAAGAUCCCAAGACCUUAAGACCCUAAGACCCUAAGACCCUAAACCCUAAACCCUAAACUUUAGAAUCCUAGAAUCCUAAGACCCUAAGACCCUAAGACUCUAGAAUCCUAAGAUCCUAGAACCUUAAGACCUUAGAACCCUAAUACCCACAAACUCUAAGACCCUCAAAUUCUAAGACCCUAGAACUCUACAACCCUAAGACCUUAAAACCCUAAUAUCCUAAAACCCUAGAAUCCUAAUAUCCUAAGACCCUAAGACCCUAGAACCCUAAGAUCCUAGUACUCCAAGACCCUAGAACCCCAAGACCCUAGAACCUUAAGACCCUAAGACCCUCAAAUCCUAAGACCCUAAGACCUACAACCCACAACCCAUCUAGUCAGCAUGAAUAACAAAUUUGGUGACACCAUACACCUAGGAUUUGUUUUGGCGUAGUGUCACGGACAUACAUAUAAUUACCUAUAUGAAUAGAUAAAAGUAUGUAAAAGUAGGUUAAUUGUGUAAUAUCUUCUAGAGAAGCUUCUUAGAAGCUUCAUAGACGCUGCUUUGACUUUAUAGGAGUCUAUAGUUGACUUUUAGGUUAGAAACUUGGUCAACAAGUUAGCCAUGUGCCACGCAUGUUGGAAGCUUAAAGAACAAGCUAACUACGUGGUCCAUCCAUAGAAAACUUGCCUUGCAAGCAAAGGCAUGUGGCCUAGAAAGUCAACAUAUAUUGGAGGUCUUAUAGAACAUCGCCACGUGGCUUCUAGUUAGAUAGUAUAUAUAGAGGCAAGAGUGAAGCCCUCUUCACUCUUGUCAACUCCUUUCUUGCUUCUAGUCUAGUUUCAAGGGUCUCUAAUUUUCUUGUAUUUUGGCAAUAGCCAUUCUAGUUUCUUUCUUAAUAUACAUAUUUCUAUUUUGUCCCAUUUCUUUUUGAGAAAAGUCUCACUUACUCUUUAGCUUUCAUCGAGUUCUUGUCCUUGACACGUAGCCAAAUUUGGUAUGCAUUCCAACUCUUUACAUAGUUCUCACAUGAUAACAAAUAUAAAACUCAGAUUCCGAAUUAAGGUCCCUAAACCCUAAAACCUGAAAAAUGAAACUCAUAUUUUUGAGAAACAAAAACGUUUAUAGAUGUCUUUGAGACAAUAGAAGGCUUGGCAAAAUUUCAAACUGAAAAAAGUUGUGAUACAUUGAGAGAUAUGUAGGAUCAAAAACCUCUAAGACACUCUUGUAACCCUAAAUCCUAAACCCUAAUCCUAAACCUUCUAAAUCCUAAACCCUAGAAAUAUAUAAAAAAUAGUAUACAUAUAAUAUUUUGAAACAAAAAAGGACAUAUACGUACAUAUGCUAUUUAAUAUAUUAGUAUUAUAUCUAGGUGCCUCUAUGUAUUUAUUAUAUAUUUAAUUUCAUUUCACUUUUUUGUUUCCUCAUAUAUUAAUCAAAGACAAUUUCUUGCGAUUUUGAAAACCUCAUAACUCCUAAAUCCUAAAAACUUGCUCGAGACCCUAAGACCCUAGAAUCCUAGAACCCUAAAUCCUACAACCCUAAGACCCUAAGACCCUAGAAUCCUUAACCCUAAGACUCUAGAAUCCUAGAACCCUAAGAUCCCAAGACCUUAAGACCCUAAGACCCUAAGACCCUAAACCCUA